Molecule: ribosomal RNA, 447 nt
Filed under: uncultured bacterium
Lineage: Bacteria
Description: partial 16S ribosomal RNA
Rfam family: Bacterial small subunit ribosomal RNA
Source: RNAcentral
AACGAACGCUGGCGGCAUGCCUAACACAUGCAAGUCGAACGAUGCCUUCGGGCAUAGUGGCGCACGGGUGCGUAACGCGUGGGAAUCUGCCCUUGGCUUCGGAAUAACAGUUAGAAAUGACUGCUAAUACCGGAUGAUGUCCCCCUGAGAGAUCUUGGGGACCAAAGAUUUAUCGGCCAGGGAUGAGCCCGCGUAGGAUUAGGUAGUUGGUGGGGUAAAGGCCUACCAAGCCGACGAUCCUUAGCUGGUCUGAGAGGAUGAUCAGCCGCACUGGGACUGAGACACGGCCCAGACUCCUACGGGAGGCAGCAGUGGGGAAUAUUGGACAAUGGGGGGAACCCUGAUCCAGCAAUGCCGCGUGAGUGAUGAAGGCCUUAGGGUUGUAAAGCUCUUUUAACAGGGAUGAUAAUGACAGUACCUGGAGAAUAAGCGCCGGCUAACUCCGUG